ACUCCUACGGGAGGCAGCAGUGGGGAAUAUUGCACAAUGGGGGAAACCCUGAUGCAGCCAUGCCGCGUGUGUGAAGAAGGCCUUCGGUUGUAAGCACUUUCAGUAGGGAGGAAGGUAGUGUAGUUAACACCUGCAUUAUUUGACGUUACCUACAGAAGAAGCACCGGCUAACUCCGUGCCAGACAGCCGCGGUAAUACGGAGGGUGCGAGCGUUAAUCGGAAUUACUGGGCGUAAAGCGCAUGCAGGCGGCCUGUUAAGUCAGAUGUGAAAGCCCGGGGCUUAACCUCGGAAUUGCAUUUGAAACUGGCAGGCUAGAGUCUUGUAGAGGGGGGUAGAAUUUCAGGUGUAGCGUGAAAUGCGUAGAGAUCUGAAGGAAUACCAGUGGCGAAGGCGG
This 395-nucleotide ribosomal RNA is filed under the name uncultured bacterium. Its description in RNAcentral is "bacterial SSU rRNA". It matches the Rfam family "Bacterial small subunit ribosomal RNA", at positions 335 to 724 of the family's 1533-position model. The record is from RNAcentral.